Molecule: transfer RNA, 73 nt
Filed under: Soehngenia saccharolytica
Lineage: Bacteria; Bacillati; Bacillota; Tissierellia; Tissierellales; Tissierellaceae
Description: tRNA-Asn
Rfam family: tRNA
About the family: Transfer RNA (tRNA) molecules are approximately 80 nucleotides in length.
Source: RNAcentral
GCUGCUAUAGCUCAGUUGGUAGAGCGUGCGGCUGUUAACCUCAAGGUCGCUGGUUCAAACCCAGCUGGGAGAG